Molecule: long non-coding RNA, 3400 nt
Organism: Trachemys scripta elegans
Lineage: Eukaryota; Metazoa; Chordata; Testudines; Emydidae
Exons: 2
Source: RefSeq, a predicted model, not a curated record
CUCUGUAAAUGGGGAGCUAGUGGAAGGGGAAAUGGAGCCCCCUGGCACUCACAGAAAGCUGAUUACAGAAUGAGCCCGAACUGAGAGGCACCAUAUCCGCCCCCCUAAAGAGCCAGACUUCAGUGGUGAUACAGCCCAGCUGGGGUAGCAACAGGAUUGAGAACGAGGUAGGAAGUUCAGAGCAGCAAGGAAAGCCUGGAGGGGAACUUGAGAAGAGAGGUUGGAAAAGUGCAGCAAAGAGAAAGGUGCAGACCUAGCUGUUGGGUCCAGGGCCCUGAGCUGCUAUCAAUGUCAGGGUGGGACUGGGUUCCCCUACCGGCCCCAGAGGAGGCGGCGUACACGCACCUGGAGAGGGUUCCCAAGCCCAGCAAGGGGGCUACAGGCUGAGCAAGUGCCCCAGCGAUGGCAGAAGGACUUCUGUCUGUGGAAAGACCUCUUUGGACUUUUAGUGUGAGGCAAGCUGGGCCCCAGAAGGGUGGACUAAAGGUGGUGACCUGGCCGGAGUUACCAGGCAGAGAAACUGCCGUGGUGCUGGAGCGACCAUGGAUGGGGGACGCUAGCCCAGCGAGAGGGCUGUGAUGCCAUGCCUGGCCGCCGGGGGGCACCUAACGAUGAGUAGAUUCAUUUAUGAUUGGCAUAGUUGGCAGGAUUGAGUUCCCCCUGUGAUCCGUGAGGGAAGUCUUGGUUGCUGAAGGAAUCAUAGAAUAUCAGGGUUGGAAGGGACCUCCGGAGGUCAUCUAGUCCAACCCCCUGCUCAAAGCAGGACCAAUCCCCAGACAGUUUUUUGCCCUGAUCCCUAAAUGGCCCCCUCAAGGAUUGAGCUCACAACCCCGGGUUUAGCAGGCCAAUGCUCAAACCACUGAGCUAUCCCUCCCCCAAGCAGGUGUAUCAAGGGACCAAGCUGGUCGCUGGAUUUCCCACUUCAGUUCCAGGGACUGGCUAAGCAGCCAAAGCAGAUCUAGGGGUUUCUCCAGCAGCUCCUAGAAAACCAACAGACGCAGAAGGAAGUGCAGGUGGAGCUACAGACGCAGCAGCAGCAAUACCUGUGAGAGAUCCUGCAAAGGGAAAUCAACCCAGGGUCUGCUAUGCCCAUGGACAAAAAGAGCAGAGAAGGAGAGCAUGCCUGGGCUGUGCUGAGAAGGUUAGCCCAGGGAGAAGGGCAUGAGAAAGUGUACAAGCGUGGCCUAAUGCCAAGAUGGGAGCAAGAGUUCUUUGUUUUGGGGGCAGAGAAGCAGGCCAUAUCAAAAGACACGGCCUGCUUAGGAAAUUGCUGAGUGGCUGAACGAGGGGCCAGGGCCCUAAGAAGUUAGAAAGAAAGGAGAAGGUGUCCUCUGACACAAACCCCCAUGAGGCAGGCAAGGUGGAGGUGGCUGGGGUGGCCAUGGACCUUGCAGACCCUCCACCAACACACCCUGUCGGGUGCUGCAGGGAGAUGAAGGACGAAAUGAUUGGCCCAGAGAUGAAGCAGACUGGAGGAGGGACAAACACAAGGGUGGAGCAGUCCAUGGUGGGUUCUCAGACCCUGACCGAAAAGGUUUUGGCAUAUGCAGCGGCAGUAGCAAAAAGGCAACAGAAGACGCUAAAGGCUUCAGAAGAGGCUCUGCAAGCAGCUGUUCAUGAGACUGAGUGGCUGCAGGAAGAGCGUCGGGAUACUGCAGAAGAGAAGGUUUGCCCCGAGCGAGCUGGCAGUGGAGCUGCAGACACUGCGCACAGGCUGUACAAGCGCGCAGCCGGUGACAGCGAUGAGAUGAGGAGGGAUGAAGCUUGGAGAAGAAUAGAACUUGCCCCCGCGUGGGCCAGGUUCUAAGGAGGAGGGUAUAUAACGGGGGGCUUGGCCUGUGGGCUAUAAAGCCUGGAGCUAGGCCAAAUGGAUUACAGAGUGAGCUCCAGCUGAGGGGAAACCAGGGGAAACCGCAACAAAGGUACAGGAGCAGGCCUAGCUGUUCGGUACAGGGCCUUGGGGCAGAACCUAGAAUCCAGGGUAGGACUGGUUCUCCCACGGUCUCUAAGGAAGGGGAUGUACAGGGCCAUAGAAAGGGCUACCAAGGCCAGCAAGGGCAGGCCGAGCCAAAGUCAGGCUGAGGAAAAGCCCCCAAGGGACAGAGGAUCUUGUUUCAGUUAAAGACAUUUUUUGACUUUUCGUUUGGGAUGAGCGCGACCCAGGAAGGAGUGGACUAAAAGAUGGUCGCCUGGCCCAAGGGCUGAGUUCCCAGCCAAAAACCUGCUGGCGGGCGUGCUAGCCCAAGAAAUCUGUGACCCCAGGCCUUGAAGGAAGGGGCACCUAUCGGUGAGUGAACUCUGUUACAAGCCUGCUUCCAUUGUGGAAACAGCCUGGUAUUGGAGAGUGGUGGGGAUGGCCUGUGGGCGAGGAUGGCUGGAGGGGUCAUACAGGAGGGGCAGCAGCGUCCAGUGAGGAGAUCAGGGAACGGGUUGUUUGCAGUCCUGCCACUGAGCGGUAACGUGAUCCUGGCCAGGUCACUCUCCCACCUGGUGCCUCACUUUCUCUAUCUUUGAAAUGGGGAUCAUCCCGACCCACAUUAAGAAAGGGUUUGAUCCUCUGCUCUUGCUUCCCAAAUCCCUGCCCUCCUUGCCCCACACAGGCCUCUGCCCUGUUGCUCAAACUCCCAUGCACAUGUUAGUGCCUGUGUCACCCCCGCAACUGCAAGGUCUCAUGUACAGUCUCCUGCCAGCAAACUGAAGCUGCCACUAGAUCCAGAAUAGGAAUCGCAGUUCCUGUGCGCUGCCCUGAAUGGAGUCUAGACCCUGGGCAUGGGGAAGGCCAACGCUCACAUCCAGGUAGAUCAUCAACCUACUCCUCUGUCCCAGGAGCAGGAAGGCCUCUGGUUCGUGCUCCCUUCGGUAGCUGGAGCUGCUGAGUUGGGAGUGUGGUGGGCAGAGAUGGGAACAGGCCAUAGGAUGAAUCAAGUGUCAGGGGGAGACUCCCUGUGUGUGGGAGAUGAUGUUGCCCCUCUGUGGGGAAUCCCUUCCUUGCAGAUGCUGGGCUUUGGGUGCUGGACUCUGCCAGGAAGCCCAGCUCCCAUCCCUAGCAGCUUGGCUGUUCCCUACACUGCUGUGCACCAGGCCCUCUGCAGAGAGCUGCUCUGGGCAAGGACUACAGAGCCUGCUGUCAUCCUGGCAGGUGUCACCCCAGGUUCCAUAAUCCUGACCCCUGGUCUCCCUCCGCUGGCAGGCUCUGAGCAAGGCCUGCCCAGAGAACAUGGAUGACGAGCUCUCGAUCCUGCUGACAGCACCCCCCAGCACAGACAAACUCCAGCACAUCUUGGAGGGUGGGAAACCGAGACACAGUUGGGACCUGUCUACACUACAGGUCUGUCGUGCGUUUGUAAUCUGCUGACCCCCACAUGUUGUUCAGAGCCUAUGGACAACACAGCUCCUAAAG